AGUGGGGUGAGCUUAGCAGAAGCCUCCAGGGAAUGACUCCCUGGAGCCAGAGUGCCCCAGACAGCCCAGCUCGGGGCUUCAGGGGCCCUGGCCGCCUCCCAGGCACUUAUUUUAUGUUCAGAAAGAGCAAAGCUGACAGGUAAUAAAUGGACGAGGAGGACUGGAGUGGGCUCUGACUGUCUGCCCGGCGCCUGCCCGGCCAGCCCGCCAUACCCACCACCACCCUCUCAGGGGGAUGAGAGCACCAUUAAUUACCCAGGAAGAAAGGGCGCCAUGAGGACGCACCCAAUGUUGCUUGGGGACAUCAUCUAUGGCCGCAUUUUCUGAGAGAAGCACCAAGCCUGAAGCUUGGCUGUCACCCCCACCACCCUCUGCCAUCAGCCGGCCAGGCUUUCCUUCUCCCCAGGUCGGUGCCAACAGUUCUCCAAACAGGAGCUCAAGCCACCGUCCCACUUGCCCUGUGAAGAAGGAACUGUUAUCAUUACAUUUUACAGACCAGGUAACUGAGGC
This 510-nucleotide long non-coding RNA is filed under the name Pan troglodytes (chimpanzee). RNAcentral's name for it is "long non-coding RNA NONPTRT017950". Lineage: Eukaryota; Metazoa; Chordata; Mammalia; Primates; Hominidae. The record is from RNAcentral.